Molecule: ribosomal RNA, 450 nt
Filed under: uncultured bacterium
Lineage: Bacteria
Description: partial 16S ribosomal RNA
Rfam family: Bacterial small subunit ribosomal RNA
Source: RNAcentral
GUGGGGAAUAUUGGACAAUGGGCGAAAGCCUGAUCCAGCCAUGCCGCGUGUGUGAAGAAGGUCUUCGGAUUGUAAAGCACUUUAAGUUGGGAGGAAGGGCAGUAAGUUAUUACCUUGCUGUUUUGACGUUACCGACAGAAUAAGCACCGGCUAACUUCGUGCCAGCAGCCGCGGUAAUACGAAGGGUGCAAGCGUUAAUCGGAAUUACUGGGCGUAAAGCGCGCGUAGGUGGUUUUGUAAGUUGGAGGUGAAAUCCCCGGGCUCAACCUGGGAACUGCCUCCAAAACUGCAUGACUAGAGUACGGUAGAGGGUAGUGGAAUUUCCUGUGUAGCGGUGAAAUGCGUAGAUAUAGGAAGGAACACCAGUGGCGAAGGCGACUACCUGGACUGAUACUGACACUGAGGUGCGAAAGCGUGGGGAGCAAACAGGAUUAGAUACCCCUGUAGUCC